GGGUCUGUAGCUCAGUUGGUCAGAGCGCACCCCUGAUAAGGGUGAGGUCGGAGGUUCAAAUCCUCCCAGACCCACCA
RNAcentral lists this transfer RNA (77 nucleotides) under Steroidobacter denitrificans. RNAcentral's name for it is "tRNA-Ile". It matches the Rfam family "tRNA". Rfam says of the family: Transfer RNA (tRNA) molecules are approximately 80 nucleotides in length. Their secondary structure includes four short double-helical elements and three loops (D, anti-codon, and T loops). The record is from RNAcentral. Lineage: Bacteria; Pseudomonadati; Pseudomonadota; Gammaproteobacteria; Steroidobacterales; Steroidobacteraceae. RNAcentral also lists the same sequence under 9 other names.